UUUGUCAGCCCUAGCCCAGACUACGGUCUAUUUGGGCUGCAAAUUUCAAACACCAGUCUCAGUUUUUAUCCAGUGCUUUGGUCUAAAAAGUUUAGUGUAAAAUGUUCACUUUGCGUUUUGUAUAAAU
Molecule: long non-coding RNA, 127 nt
Organism: Maniola jurtina (meadow brown)
Lineage: Eukaryota; Metazoa; Arthropoda; Insecta; Lepidoptera; Nymphalidae
Exons: 3
Source: RefSeq, a predicted model, not a curated record